AUGGCCACUCCUACUCCAUACCACCUCCUGUCUCCAAGAGCCAUCGUCACCAAGAUCAUCAGCAUGAAGCGGCAGGAGCCGGAGCCGCCGCCGCCCAAGAUCAUCCUGCAGCCGCGGCACCGGACCAGCCCCGCGAUGUGGUGCGCUGCCAUCGUCUGCUUCGCCUUCAGCGUCCUCCUCAUCCUCGCCGGCCUGGUGAUCCUCACCGUCUACCUGGCGGUGAAGCCGAGGACGCUGUCCUUCGACGUCGCCAAUGCCGCCCUCCACAGCAUCUAUGUCGGCUCGCCUCCUCCCUACUUCAACGGCGACAUGACGCUGACGGCCAACAUCUCCAACCCCAACCACAAGAUCGGCGUCGUGAUCCAGUCCGGCGCCAUCGAGCUCUUCUUCCGGGGCAGGCUGGUGGCAGCGCAGGCGCUGCCGCCGUUCGCGCAGCGUGUGGCCUUGGAGAUGCUGAACCAGAUGAAGAGCAACAAGAUCCUCUACACCAUCAGAGGGACCUUCAAGGUCCGGGAAAGGUUAUGGUCUUGGCACUACACCUACCGGAUGACUGCCAUUUGUGACCUGGAGCUCACCGCGCCUCCCUCUGGAUUUCUCGUAGAUAGGAGAUGCACAACAUCAACGUGA
Molecule: ribosomal RNA, 627 nt
Filed under: Triticum aestivum (bread wheat)
Lineage: Eukaryota; Viridiplantae; Streptophyta; Magnoliopsida; Poales; Poaceae
Description: partial small subunit ribosomal RNA
Source: RNAcentral